Molecule: long non-coding RNA, 2875 nt
Organism: Pezoporus occidentalis (night parrot)
Lineage: Eukaryota; Metazoa; Chordata; Aves; Psittaciformes; Psittacidae
Exons: 2
Source: RefSeq, a predicted model, not a curated record
UGUGCGAGUGUGCCCAUAGCUCCUGCACACGGUCUCGGAAGCAGUGGGGCGCUGUGGGGAGCGCCAAACCCUAAGUUGAACCCCCCAGGGCAACGCAUCUGCAGUAGCAACAACCCACAGGGAAGGGGAAGCAGCUCCCCCAGGUACGCAGGCUUGGUUGAGCGUCUCUUCGCGGCCGGAAUGAGGUUGUUGCAGCCUGAGUGAAGCACAGUGUGUAUCAAUGUCAGACAAGAAUGACGACAUCUUAUUAGUUGCCAUGAUUACUGGUGAAGUAUUAAUUUAGGAUUAACUCGGAAGAACUUGAAUUAACUAAGCAGCCUGUGGGGACAGCGUGUAAAAGAGUCACAGGAAGAAAGGAAAAGACUGGAUUCAUUAGCAGACUGCAGGGAAAUGUAUUAAGAAGCAAGACUGUAGCCAUAGAUUGGAAAGCACACACUUAUGGAUGGAGAUGAAAUGUUUGUGGUAAAUCUGACUUUAAGUUAUUAAGCUUAAUGAUCUCUCCAAAUCUUCAAUGAGAUCAUCUAAAGAAAGGGGUUUGAAGGUUGGGAUUAAAGAAAGCCCUGUUAUAAAGAUGACUCAGUGCUGUGUUUUGAACAGACCGAAAUCUGGAAUGACCCUAGCACAAUACACUGAAGCAAUUAAGAAGGGGGAACAGUAGUAGGAAACCAGCUGUGUGUUUGACUAGCCAGCCACAGAGUUAAGGUUUUGUUGCAAAGAGGCCAUACUAUACAGAGCUGCUGUAUGUAUUACUUGUUACUGUUGAGUCUUUUAAUUAAAAUGAUUACUGAGUCACUUGGGACUCACAGACGCAGAGAAAGCCUUGGUAUUCACUGCUUCUAUCACAAGUCGUGAAGACAUUGCUGUCAUAUACUGCACAGAUCAUUUUGCACAGAAGAGCCAGGCAAGCUGAAGAGAGGUGUCUGUGAGAGAGAGGAAUGCAAAGAGAAACACUCAUCACUUCUGAGGUGCUGUCUGUGCUUUUGUUUUAUCCUCUCAUGGUGUAUCUGAUGUCCAUUCCAGCUCUGGCUCUUAUAGCUACUCACACAACUUCAAGAUACAGAAUAAUAGAGGAAAGGCUUUGGCCUUUUCUUAUCUACCUUUUGGACUGACUGGGCACGUACUGUACGCUGUUUAUGAUGGAAAGAAUAAUCAGGAACCUUACAGUUGUCAGCUCUGGCAAAUAUGUCUUGAGUUUUACUAUGUGCACAUGAAAUUCCAGCCCACAGAGGUUUCCAGCUGAGGCUAAUGCUGUCCGGUUGGAUAACUGCUUCCAGAACCAGCCCAUCAAGGAUGAGCGGUCCAUCAGUUCUGUCAAAGGAGAAAUCAAGAAGGGUUUGGCCUGAAGGGGUAGAUGAAAUGUCACUGGGAUCUGAGGUGAAGAUGGCAGGAAAGGAGGUAUUUGACAUAUGCUUGUUUGAGCAAUGAAUGAUUCAUCUGUUGGAUUCUGAGCUUAGAAUACUAGAAGCGUAGAAUCAGCUACACUGGAAAAGACCUUUAAAAUCAUGAAGGCCAACUCUUACCCCAGGACUGCCAAGUCCACCAGUGAACUAUGUCACUGAGGGCAUUUACAUGGUUUUUGAACACUUCCGAGGGCAGUGAUUCCACCACUUCCCUGGGCAGCCUGUUCCAAUGCCUGAUCACUCAGUGAAGAAUUUUUUCCUAAUAUCCAGGCUAAGCCUCCCCUGACACAGCUUGUGGAUGUGGAUUGAGCUUGACUGGCUCUUGGAUUCUGAGCUUUGAAGAAUAUAGCUAUAUUCAAACAACAUAAGAAAAGUCUGAAGUGGACUCAGAGUUUAUUCAGAGCUCAUUCACCUGCUCUGCCAUCGUGGAUGCUCAGUCAUGCAUAUGUUACUCCUUCAUUCAGUCUGUUCAUCAAGAUCUCUGGUGGUGGACUCUGUUCCAAAGCCUCCUCAAGCAGGGUCUUUCUCUGAUUUAAAGUAUAUACUUCUGGAAAGUUGUUUUGAUCCAUAAGCAGGAUCCUUCCUUCUGCAUCAAAAGCCAGUACACUUGGUCCUAUCCACCAUGAGCACCAGGAUCAGACUGUCCCCUUAACACAGACUGCUUUUGAUUUUUAAAAUUCCAUCUUGAUCUCCUUCCUAGGUUAAACAGCAUUGAAAGGCCUGCUAAAAUCAAAUACACAACAAAUGCUGUCUGCCUCUCCAAGGGGCCUGUUACUCUGCUGUAAAAGGAAAUUACAUUGGUUUGGCAUCAGUUUUGUUCCUGAAAAAUCAGUGGUGUUCCUUAUCUUCUUCUUCUUGCCUUUGAAGUCUUACAAAUCAGUUGCUUGAUUUUUAUUUUUUUUCCUGAUUUUUUUGGGGGGAUCUUCCUUCUCUCCCUUUUUCCAGCAAUGAAUUUUGAUUAUCGCUUUAAUUUCAGAUUAAAGACGUUAGCUUCUUUUGAUAACUAUGAAAAAGUAAAAAUAAAUUAAGUGGAAAACCCCUGGGUGGAUUAGCUAGUUGCUCUAAUAAAGUAGUGUCCUCAAAUCUCUGUCUUUGGUACUUGCAUUCUCAUUGCUUUAAAGGAAUUCUGAAGUUCUGCCAUAUGUAUGUCUACCGUCUAAGUAGGUUGUGUGUUUUGUGUAUCAAGAUGCCUCAGAUAGUUGGCUGCACUGAACACAUUAUUUCCAUGUUAGAGCUUUUAAUUCAGCUCUGGUUUAAAAAAAAAAGAUGUUUGAGGUAUUUAUUUUUUGCAUGCAUGGGUUCAUUGUUUGGAAGCAGCAUGAUGUUCUAUAAAUAUAAGUGGGAUGAGUUAACACACACUGAUGAGGAAUUGAAGACUUUUGCUUUUUUUUGUUGUUUGGUUGGUUGGGUUUUUUCCUUGUAUUUGUUUAAUAAAAGCUAGGGUCCAUUUUGGAAACAAAGUUAUCAAACCUCUG